AUGUGCGGGACGCAUGAUGGGGGCUUUAUAUAUGAGGGGCGCAUGAUGGAUGCAUUAUAUGUGAGGGGCAAAGAAUGGGGGCAUUAUAUGUGAAGGGCACAGCACAGGGGGCAUUAAAUGUGUGGGGCACAUGACAGGAGCAUUCUAUGUGAGGGGCACAGCACAGAGGGCAUUAUUAUGUGGGGGAACAGGACGGGUCAUAUUAUAUGUAGGGGCACAAGAUGGGGCAUUAUUACUAUAUGUGAAGGCACAGAGUGUUUUGCCUUUCAGAAGUAUAGUGUAUAUUGUGAGGAAUUUCUGGGGUGGUACGUUUUUUAGGGGCCACAAUACAUUACGGUAUUUUACUCAGAGGGUAGUUACAGCACAGCAAGUUAUAUUCAGAGAAUGUACUGUGUGGUAGUAUUAGAUUUAGAGGGCACAGUGUGUGUUAGUAUUAUAUUCAGUGGGUACAGUGUGUGAUAGUAUUAUAUUUAGAGGGUGCAGCGUGUGAUAGUAUUAUAUUCAGAGGGUGCAGUGUUUGGUAGUAUUAAAUUUAGAGGGCACAGAGUGUGGUAGUAUUAUAUUCAGAGGGUACAGUGUAUGGUGGUAUUAUAUUCAGAGGGUACAGUGUGUUGUUUAUUCAGGGGGUACAGUAUGUCAGAAUUAUAUUAGGAGGGUGUGUGCCAGUAUUAUAUUCAAAGAAUACAGUGUUUGGCAGUAUUAUAAUAAUUAUUGUUUUCAUAUAGAGGAUCAGAAUGCAUUGGCAUAGUGAGGAGACGUCUGGGCAUCAAGUUCUGCAGAGAGAAGAUUUAGCUGGAACAAAUCCUGGCGCCAAUCAGAGAGCAGCACUACUGAAAUAGAACUCCCAGGAGUGAGGGGCCGGUGCUGGACACUGUGUAGGGACGCGGGAAUGCAAAGUCAUACACAUGACUGUGACUGGUAAGUGUUACAUUGUUGUGUCCAAAAGAUCUUUAGUGCAGUUCCAUGUGUAUUUCUAUGAUAAACAUGUAAAUGAUUUAUCUUUUUUUUCUUAUCUUAGAUGCACUAUCUCCAGGACAUGGAGUAGCAUUUCCGGACCUACAGCAAGACGUUGGAUGAAGGCAUAGCCCCAGAAAUAACACUGGUCCUGUUCAUCAGUGAGGGGCCGGUGCUGGACACUGUGUAGGGACACGGGAAUGCAAAGUCAUGCACAUGACUGUGACUGAUGCACUAUUUCCAGGACAUGGAGUAGCAUUUCGGGACCUACAGCAAGACGUUGGAUGAAGGCACAGGCCUAGGAAUCAUGCACAUACACAGAAACAUUUGCCCAAAUUCUAGAGGUAACCUCCUUUAGUAUGCCCAGAGGAAGGGCCAUACAGUAGCCAUGGAUUCCCUACAGGUUUCCUCCCCUCUGGAGGUUUUUCCUGUCCUGAGUAUUAGUUACUGUACGCUCUUUGUGAGUGAUGGGAGGUUACAAAAAAUCCCCUACACAAACAUUUUAAUAAAUAAUAAAUAAAG
Hyla sarda is the source of this 1476-nucleotide long non-coding RNA. RefSeq lists it as uncharacterized. Lineage: Eukaryota; Metazoa; Chordata; Amphibia; Anura; Hylidae. The transcript has 4 exons. The record is from RefSeq and is a predicted model, not a curated record.